ACGGAAGGCAGCAGCUAAGAAUAUUCCGCAAUGGGGGGAACCCUGACGGAGCGACGCCGCGUGGAUGAUGAAGGCCGGAAGGUUGUAAAAUCCUUUUGGACCUGAGGAAUAAGUGGUGCAGGAAAUGGCACCAUGGUGACGGUAGGGUCUGAAUAAGCAACGGCUAAUUACGUGCCAGCAGCCGCGGUAACACGUAAGUUGCGAGCGUUGUUCGGAAUUAUUGGGCGUAAAGGGCAUGUAGGCGGACCGUCAAGUCCGGUGUGAAAUCCCGGGGCUCAACCCCGGAACUGCACUGGAAACUGGCGGACUUGAGUCACCGAGGGGGAACCAGAAUUCCAGGUGUAGGGGUGAAAUCUGUAGAUAUCUGGAAGAAUACCAAUGGCGAAGGCAGGUUUCCAGCGGAUGACUGACGCUGAGGUGCGAAGGUGCGGGGAGCAAACAGGAUUAGAUACCCUGGUA
This 459-nucleotide ribosomal RNA is filed under the name uncultured Treponema sp. RNAcentral describes it as "bacterial SSU rRNA". It matches the Rfam family "Bacterial small subunit ribosomal RNA", at positions 341 to 792 of the family's 1533-position model. The record is from RNAcentral. Lineage: Bacteria; Pseudomonadati; Spirochaetota; Spirochaetia; Treponematales; Treponemataceae.